UAGGGCCACAGUAUAUGGAGGCUCCCAGUAGCCUGGAUCAAAUCAGAGCUGCAGCUGCCCAUCUACAGCAUAGCCAUAGCCAUGCGGGAUCUGAGCAGUGUCUGUGACCUACACCACAGCUCACAGCAACGGUGGUUCCUUAACCAACCAAGCAAGGCCAGGGAUCAAACCCGCAACCUCAUGGUUCCUCGUCGGAUUCAUUUCCACUGCACCAAGAGAGGAACUCCAUACUUCGUAUUUAAUAAUGUGUUGGAACCAUGAAUGAGAAUAACACUUAUACAGCACCUGCCUACCUCAUACAGUCAGAUGAGCGGAGCUGCAAGCAUGCAAGUUAAAGGCGAAACAAGUGUGAUACCCGUUCCUCACUUUCCGGUUGAGGAAUCCUUGGAACCAUUACUUAACCACUGUGAGCUUGUUACUUUGCAUGAACAUUGGAGAUAUUGCCUAUUUAAAGCUGUCCGGGAAAAUUAAAGGAUGAAUGUAAGUCUUUGCUUCAUAGUAGCUGAUGAAGAGUAUUUUCGUCUUCUUUCCUCUCUUUAAGACUACAUAGUUUCCCAGUCUUUAAAAUUCUAUCAAAACAGGAAGAAUAUCUCUCAACGUAACUUACUCUUUGACAAAAUGAAUUUAUACUAUUUUCCAAAAAUCUAAAUUGUUUUGUUUAAAGUAAAACACUGUAUUUAACACUAUAAAAGAAAUAUUGGCUGCAACAUUUAUGUAAACUCCUUCUUUGUGUCUAUAUAUCCUACUGAAAAAUAAUCAUUUAUUUAUAUCCUAAAAUUUGACACAUUAGCUUUGGUACCAGUUUUUGACAAUCCCAAGGGAAAGUAUGAUAGAAAGAGGACUAGAUUAGGAGUCAGGAAAUCUUGCCUCUAACUCUGACUCUG
Molecule: long non-coding RNA, 884 nt
Filed under: Sus scrofa (pig)
Lineage: Eukaryota; Metazoa; Chordata; Mammalia; Artiodactyla; Suidae
Description: lncRNA (ENSSSCG00065018115.1)
Source: RNAcentral